CGUGCAUAUUACGCGUCCAGCCUAAAAAUCUUAACUUAAUAACUGAAUACCUAUGUUUUUUAUACAGGAAAUCAAAAGUUAUAAAGUUAGGCUUCUAUGCAUGUAAUAUUUACUGAUGAAAGUAACCUAAUUAACAAAAUAUAAAUUAAAAACAUAAUUAAUUCUCAUUUCCUUCGGUGUCCAUAUGCUAUCGUCCUAGAUAUACUUGUAUUUUAUUCAAAAGUAUCAUUAUUAAUUUUGAAUAAGUAACCGUACUAAAAAACUACAUUAAAAAGUACAACUUUUUCAUCGACAUAAACAAAGCUAGCUCCGCAAUUUUAUAUUUUUUUUAUUUCAUAAAUGUUUCUCAUUUUUUUUUUGUCAUUACCAUCGGGUUGGACGGAUCUACGAAUUAUACUCUGCGUAUUGCCCUUAACGCUGAUACACCGACAACACACCCCGCGUACAUCCCUCAGUCGGCCAGUAAACGUCUUAGCAGGUGCACGCACGCUUGUGAUAAUAAAAUAUGUUCGUGUAAAGUUGCGCAGGAGGUGAUUAUUCUGGAAUUGUUCUCUCUCCUAUCGUUGCCAUAAUUAAAGGAUCAAGAAUUAAGAAUGCCGAGAAAAACUAAACACAACCGAGAGCACGAUAGACUUCAAAAGAAAAAAGAAUAUGCAGCAAUUAAGGCAGGUCCCGAAAAGUAUAAAGAAGAUCAGUGUUCGAAAGGACCGCAGUCACCGAAAGUCAAAAAAUUAUCUGAUAUUAAGAUGACUGAUUGGGAAAAUAGCAAAUUUUAUCUUGAUAAAAAGGAACCCGUUGACAAAACUUUUAAGACCGAUUUUGGGAAAUUUGUCAUGUCCAAUAGGGAACCAGAGCAUGAUACCAAAGAAAAGGUAGAAGGAGUAUACGCAAAGAGAGAAAUUCAAAAUUUUUGUGAUGAUGAUUCCGAUGAAAAUAUUUUCUAAUACUUUGAGUUAUUUUAAUUCAUUUGUUUUUGAUAUCAUAUUUUGUUUUUUUUUUUAAGUAUUUUUACAUUGCGAGAAGUCUAAUUUUAGUUUUGUAGUCUGAUUCUUAGCUUAUCUUGCCCUAUUCCCAAUUUUAUUUGGGGUCGGCGCAAUAUGACUUCUGCUUUUUUGUGUCAUCUUUCAGACAAUUCAUCCAUCUUUUCUUAGGUCCUCCUCUUCUUCUCCAUCCAUCUACAUUUAUACCUAGCACUACUUUGUUGCAUGCGUAUCAUUCCUCCUCAUUACAU
This 1231-nucleotide long non-coding RNA is filed under the name Helicoverpa zea (corn earworm). RNAcentral's name for it is "uncharacterized LOC124637650". Lineage: Eukaryota; Metazoa; Arthropoda; Insecta; Lepidoptera; Noctuidae. The record is from RNAcentral.